CAGCCGCCACGGGAAUACGUAGGUGGCAAGCGUUGUCCGGAAUUAUUGGGCGUAAAGCGCGCGCAGGUGGUUUAAUAAGUCUGAUGUGAAAGCCCACGGCUCAACCGUGGAGGAUCAUUGGAAACUGUUAAACUUGAGUGCAGGAGAGAAAAGUGGAAUUCCUAGUGUAGCGGUGAAAUGCGUAGAGAUUAGGAGGAACACCAGUGGCGAAGGCGGCUUUUUGGCCUGUAACUGACACUGAGGCGCGAAAGCGUGGGGAGCAAACAGGAUUAGAUACCCCUGUAGUCCCUGUCUCUUAUAC
RNAcentral lists this ribosomal RNA (301 nucleotides) under uncultured bacterium. RNAcentral describes it as "partial 16S ribosomal RNA". It matches the Rfam family "Bacterial small subunit ribosomal RNA", at positions 509 to 807 of the family's 1533-position model. The record is from RNAcentral.